GAAUAGCGGUAUGCAGGACAGAUAGUGGGAAGGUGGGGCUUCAUCCGUGCGCUUUAUUUAGCGGGAUUUGGGGAAAAUGCGCGGAUGAUCGCGUUCCUUAUUAGCGCGCGACUCUGCGUUCAUCAGACUACACUUUCUCAGUGACAGGAGACACGAGAGGAUUUUCCACACCAGACAGCAUGGAUGAGGACUUUGAACGCCGUAGGGAGCUCCGGAGACAAAAGCGAGAAGAAAUGCAAAAAGAAGCAGAAAAGACGAGCCAUCAAAAUCUUGAAGAUGAUGAUGAAGAGGCUGCUCGAGAAAGAAGGAGGCGAGCCCGACAGGAAAGGCUGCGCAACAUGGAGAACGAGGAGAUGACCAACACUGCCAGAGAACUCAACAGCACUGCCAGUUUAACAGACACAAGCUCAUCAGCACUGAUAACCGCUAGCGAUGAUGACCAGGCUCUUCUGGAGCGGCUGGCCAAGCGUGAGGAGCGCAGACAGAGGAGGAUGAAGGAAGCUCUGGAGAGACAAAAGGAGUUUGACCCCACCAUCACUGAUGGGGAAGCCACUGUCACCACCACCACCAGUGAGGACCGGCCAAGCCGCAGGAGCCAUCUCAGGGAUGCAGAAGAGGAAAUGAACAAAAACGAGGUUCUGUCCUCAGAGACCAAAUCCUGGACAGAGAAGGAAAAAAAUAACCAGAACCUGAAUAUAGAGGAGUCAAAGGUGGAGGUUCAGGAGACCUCCUUCCCUGUGAAAGAGGAACCUGUGUCAGAGGAAAAGAAAGAUGAAGAGGGGGAAGCAGAGAGGCCCUGGAGAUCCUACCACAGAGAACAGGAAAAGGGUGAAGAGCAAUCUGUCAGUACAAACAGUGUGGCUGAGAAGGAAACAGACACAGUUUUAGACAGUACAGAUUUAGAAAAGAGAGAGAUUAAAGAUGAAAGUUUCUUAUCAAAGGAAGAGAAACCUGCGAAAGAAGAAGAAAAAGCUGAGGAACCUGUAAUAUCUAAGAUGGAAGAGGAAGAAAAGCCUGUGGAGGAGAAAAUAACAUUAGAUGCACCAUCAGAAACAAUAGUUAAGGAUGACAAAGAUUCUCUGGAGAACAAGGAUAUGGAGAAAUCUCAAAAAGAAUUAUUUGAUCCUUCACUGGAGAAGAAGGAAAUAGCUCAGAAAGAAACACCUGUGCCUGUGUUGGAGAAGACAGUAGUAGGAGAACCACUAAAAUACACAUUUGAGCCUCCAGGAGAGAAGAAAGUGUUGGAGAGAGUAAAGGAAGAUAUCCAUGAACCACCACUAGAGAAGAAGGUGGUGGUGAAAUUUAGGCAAGAAGAAGAGAAACCACAGAUGCUGGAGAGGACAAAGAGGGAGGUUGAGGUGAAGGUUGAGGUGAAGGUUGAACUCCCAAAGCAACAAGUUGAAGAGAAGCCUCCUGUGAAGGUUAAAGUAGAGGAGAAAAAAGUGCCACCAAAGAUGAUUGAAGAGAAACAAGCAGGUUUAAAAAACAAGGAGGUUGAAGACAAACCAAAAUGGAAGAAGGAGGCAGAAGAAAAAUCCAAAACAAAAAUUCAGGACAAAGUUAAACCUAAGGAGGUUGUGGAGGAAAAACCUAAAGCAUUCUUUUUACGUGACAAAAACGAAACAGUGAGGCAGCAGAAUGAGGAGGACGUCUCUAAAUUCAAGAAACAAGAGAAGCCAUUUGGCCGUGCGGGGCUGCGUUCUCCCGAGAUUGAAAAGUCAGACCCUGUGGCGAAGCAGGAGGCAGAGCAGAAGCUUGUGGAACUGAAACGCCGGAGGAACGAGACGGAGAGUGAGGAGUUUGAGAAGAUGAAGCAGAAACAGCAGACGGCUGAGGCUGAGCUUGAGGAACUGAAGAAGAAGAGAGAGGAGAGGCGGAAGAUCCUAGAGGAAGAGGAGAAGCGGAAAAAACAGAAGGAGGAUGAAAAGAAAGCCAAGGAGGAGCAAGAGAGGCAGAAGAUGAAGGAGGAGAUCGAGCGCAGGAGGGCCGAGGCAGCUGAGAAGAAACGGCAGAAAGAGGAAUCUGCUGAAGACGGAAAGUCACCAUUCAAAUGUCUGUCUCCGAAAGGAGCUUCAACAAAGAUUGGCGUGAAAGCAGAAUUUCUGAACAAGUCAGCCCAAAAAACACCGGUGAAGGUUCCACACACACCAAUAAUGUGUAAGAUAGGUAACAGACUGGAGCAGUACACCUCAGCCAUCCAGACUAAGGACGUGAAGUCCCCUAAGUCUCCUAAGGACCUUCCUGCGGCAGAAGGAAUGCGCAGCAUCAAGAGCAUGUGGGAAAAAGGUAACGUGCAGAACCCUGAUGCUCCCCUGCCUGCCGGUCCUGCCACCGUCAACAAGGAAACAGCUGGAUUGAACACAGGAGUGGCAGGCCGCAUCAACAGCUGGAAGACCAAGACUCCAGAAACGAAGACUCCUGAAACCAAGCUGGCAGAAACAAAGACCCUCGAAACAAAGGGCACGAAACCUAUUGAGACGAAGACGAUCGAGACGAAGACACCAGAAGCGAAAAGCACGAAACCAGUCGAGCCGAAAAAGAUAGAGGCAAAGACCCCCGAUCCGAAGAGCUUGAAACCCAGUGAGACGAAGCCGAGUGAGAAAAAGACCCCAGAGAUGAAGACUCUAGCAGUAGGAAAGCCUGCAGGAGGCAAAGCUGAACCAAAGCCCACCGACGUGUCUAAAACCCGCGGCCUGUGGGAAAACAAGGGCCCCACCUCCUCCAAGCAUUGACACAAAGCCUGGCGGGAAGGUUAAUACCGUGUUUGGACUUAAGACAACGCCAUUUACAAAUGGUACAAGGAAGUAAAACACCAAAGCAAACAACGAGCUUUUGAAACAAGACAAGAUCGCUGCAUACUGCAUACUUUUUACACCUUAAUGUCCUCCAGUCGUGUAUAAAAUCCAAUUAUAUAAUGCUUGGAAUAAUUACAAUGAAUCGUGCUAUAACAAAAGCAUAAGCACAUAAGAACCUCCUGUAUCCCAGAUCCUGUUUACACCAGGUCAUUUUAAUACAUCUGGAUUUUAUUCUGUUUUAUAUUUUAACCGCGUGCAUUUACACUCGAACUGGAAGAAAGACUUCCAGGAUUUUUAUUUAGAGAAAUUAAAAAUAACAAUCCAAGUGUUAUGUUCUUCAAAAAAAAGGUUCCUAGGUAGUGUAACCGUUCUCUUCAAAGAAUCCAUACUGACAUAACGAAGAGUGCAAGUUACACAGGAAGGGUUUAAAGUGAAAAAUUGGGAAGGGUUUGGGGUAUUUUGUGGCUUGUAGAGUCACAUGGAUAUAUGUGACAGUCUGGGAAAACUCUUAACCUACAACCUCUUUACCAUAAAUGGUGGAAAACAAAAAUUUUUUACCCCUGACUCUUACAAAGCACUAAUGGAGACUCCUUGGAUCAAAUUAAUGGAGGCUAAAUCAACAUUUUUUCAAAAUUGUGCCAAAAAAAACCCCAAAAAAGUUUUAUUUUUAAUGCCUACAAUAAAAUUUGACAUCUUAACAGUUUAACAAACACUGUAGUAAAAAAAUAGACAGUUUGCUAAAGAUGUCUAAAACCUUGAGUUAUUUCAUCACACACCAAACGUCCUGCUUUAAUCAAACCAGCUGAUAGUUAAUAAUGAAAGGGAAAUGGAUGGAAACCGAACUAAUUUAGUCCGGAAUCAGAUUCCAACGUCUUUGCAGAUCCUAAAAGAAAUCUUUAAAUAUGAACUUUUUGCUUUUCAUAUUAAAAGAAAGAUUUGUGACUAAAAUUCAUGUAAAGGAGAAACACAGUUCAGAUCGGGAAAGUCUGUGGAUUUCUUCUGAGACUUGUGACCAGGUGAAGGGUUUUUCCAGGCUGCAAAACAUUUCUACGUACUCUUUUCUUGGAUUUUCCAAACUUCUUUUUGUGCCUUUAUGUAAAACAUCUCCUUUCGACUAUUAUUCUAUAUAUGAUGCAAGAAGUGACAGGGUGAUAACUGGGUGGACGAGAAUUCUCGAUUUUAGUAAAUUAGAAAAACGAUAGAAAUGAUUUCGAUUACAAACGCAAAGCGAUGUACAGUAGAGAUGCUUGCUGUAUUUUCAUGUAAGCAUCCAUGCUCACCAUUAAUCAUUCAGUCAAUAGAGCGUGUCUUACAGAACGUCAUGGUUGUUGUACCUGCAUAGUGAAGAGUGAUAGUGAUGUCCAGUUUUACUGUGUAUCUGUUUUAUUUUCCCCAAGUCACUGCAUGGUGAAGCACACGGCUAUAAUACCAGCUUAUUGUAAGUGUAACACUCGGAGUAUUUAACACGUUGCUGCCAUACUAACAACUUUUAAGGUUGAACGAUUCUUUUUUCCACUGCAACGUCUUCAUGGUCAUCAUGCUUUCUCAGCACACGUCACCUACAGUAUAUAAACCACCUCGAUGUAGCAACAUGCAACAAGCUUCACAAGCACUGCAGAUCACAAUCAUAGACGAUCUCUGCUUUAUUCCUUCCCAUUCCUAAUAUAGAUACGUUACGAGUGUCCUUGAGUGUCCUGACUGUAUCAUGUAACGAGACAAAGUGUACCAAAUAAAUCUGAUUCCUUAUAUACUCA
This is an RNA transcript of Tachysurus fulvidraco (yellow catfish), 4549 nucleotides long. It is a transcript of the gene named caldesmon 1b, with no coding region annotated. Lineage: Eukaryota; Metazoa; Chordata; Actinopteri; Siluriformes; Bagridae. The record is from RefSeq and is a predicted model, not a curated record. The transcript has 17 exons.